This 238-nucleotide ribosomal RNA is filed under the name Acinetobacter baumannii. RNAcentral's name for it is "partial 16S ribosomal RNA". It matches the Rfam family "Bacterial small subunit ribosomal RNA", at positions 51 to 287 of the family's 1533-position model. Lineage: Bacteria; Pseudomonadati; Pseudomonadota; Gammaproteobacteria; Moraxellales; Moraxellaceae. The record is from RNAcentral.
ACACAUGCAAGUCGAGCGGUAGCACAGAGAGCUUGCUCUCGGGUGACGAGCGGCGGACGGGUGAGUAAUGUCUGGGAAACUGCCUGAUGGAGGGGGAUAACUACUGGAAACGGUAGCUAAUACCGCAUAACGUCGCAAGACCAAAGUGGGGGACCUUCGGGCCUCAUGCCAUCAGAUGUGCCCAGAUGGGAUUAGCUAGUAGGUGGGGUAACGGCUCACCUAGGCGACGAUCCCUAGC